This 23-nucleotide microRNA is filed under the name Oreochromis niloticus (Nile tilapia). Its description in RNAcentral is "oni-miR-10907". Lineage: Eukaryota; Metazoa; Chordata; Actinopteri; Cichliformes; Cichlidae. The record is from miRBase by way of RNAcentral.
UGCCUGGCAUUUCUCUGUUCACU